This 447-nucleotide ribosomal RNA is filed under the name uncultured bacterium. RNAcentral describes it as "partial 16S ribosomal RNA". It matches the Rfam family "Bacterial small subunit ribosomal RNA", at positions 330 to 794 of the family's 1533-position model. The record is from RNAcentral.
CCCAGACUCCUACGGGAGGCAGCAGUGGGGAAUAUUGCACAAUGGGGGAAACCCUGAUGCAGCGACGCCGCGUGAGCGAAGAAGUAUUUCGGUAUGUAAAGCUCUAUCAGCAGGGAAGAAAUUGACGGUACCUGAAGAAGAAGCCCCGGCUAACUACGUGCCAACAGCCGCGGUAAUACGUAGGGGGCAAGCGUUAUCCGGAUUUACUGGGUGUAAAGGGGGCGCAGACGGCGAUGCAAGCCAGGAGUGAAAGCCCGGGGCCCAACCCCGGGACUGCUCUUGGAACUGCGUGGCUGGAGUGCAGGAGGGGCAGGCGGAAUUCCUGGUGUAGCGGUGAAAUGCGUAGAUAUUAGGAGGAGCACCGGCGGCGAAGGCGGCCUGCUGGACCGUAACUGACGUUGAGGCUCGAAAGCGUGGGGAGCAAACAGGAUUAGAUACCCCGGUAAA